Molecule: transfer RNA, 72 nt
Filed under: Candidatus Pacearchaeota archaeon
Lineage: Archaea; Nanobdellati
Description: tRNA-Met
Rfam family: tRNA
About the family: Transfer RNA (tRNA) molecules are approximately 80 nucleotides in length. Their secondary structure includes four short double-helical elements and three loops (D, anti-codon, and T loops).
Source: RNAcentral
GGCUACGUAGCUUAGUGGUAAAGCACCGCUCUCAUGAGGCGGGGAUCGGGAGUUCAAUCCUCCCCGUAGCCA